AUACGUAGGGUGCAAGCGUUAAUCGGAAUUACUGGGCGUAAAGCGUGCGCAGGCGGUUUUGUAAGACAGUGGUGAAAUCCCCGGGCUCAACCUGGGAACUGCCAUUGUGACUGCAAGGCUGGAGUGCGGCAGAGGGGGAUGGAAUUCCGCGUGUAGCAGUGAAAUGCGUAGAUAUGCGGAGGAACACCGAUGGCGAAGGCAAUCCCCUGGGCCUGCACUGACGCUCAUGCACGAAAGCGUGGGGAGCAAACAGGAUUAGAUUCCCUGGUAGUCCACGCCCUAAACGAUGUCAACUGGUUGUUGGGGAUUUAUUUUCUCAGUAACGAAGCUAACGCGUGAAGUUGACCGCCUGGGGAGUACGGCCGCAAGGUUAAAACUCAAAUGAAUUGACGGGG
RNAcentral lists this ribosomal RNA (395 nucleotides) under uncultured bacterium. RNAcentral's name for it is "partial 16S ribosomal RNA". It matches the Rfam family "Bacterial small subunit ribosomal RNA", at positions 523 to 918 of the family's 1533-position model. The record is from RNAcentral.